This 221-nucleotide unclassified non-coding RNA is filed under the name uncultured Tomentella. Its description in RNAcentral is "sequence contains ITS2". The record is from RNAcentral. Lineage: Eukaryota; Fungi; Basidiomycota; Agaricomycetes; Thelephorales; Thelephoraceae.
ACACCUCAACUCUUCAUGGUUUUCCAUGAAGAGCUUGGACUCUGGGGGUCUUGCUGGCCUGUGGUCGGCUCCUCUCAAAUGAAUCAGCUUGCCAGUGUUUGGUGGGCACCACAGGUGUGAUAACUAUCUACGCUUGUGGUUUUCCACCAGGGUAACCUUCAGCAAUGGAGGUUCACUGGAGCUCACAAAUGUCUCUCCUCAGUGGGGACAGCCCUUUGAAU